This 253-nucleotide ribosomal RNA is filed under the name uncultured bacterium. RNAcentral describes it as "partial 16S ribosomal RNA". It matches the Rfam family "Bacterial small subunit ribosomal RNA", at positions 524 to 776 of the family's 1533-position model. The record is from RNAcentral.
UACGUAGGGUGCGAGCGUUAAUCGGAAUUACUGGGCGUAAAGCGUGCGCAGGCGGUUUUGUAAGCCAGAUGUGAAAUCCCCGGGCUCAACCUGGGAAUGGCAUUUGGGACUGCAAGGCUCGAGUGCGGCAGAGGAGACUGGAAUUCCUGGUGUAGCAGUGAAAUGCGUAGAUAUCAGGAAGAACACCCGUGGCGAAGGCGGUUCUCUGGGACGGUACUGACGCUGAGACGCGAAAGCGUGGGGAGCGAACAGG